RNAcentral lists this transfer RNA (75 nucleotides) under Deltaproteobacteria bacterium. RNAcentral describes it as "tRNA-Val". It matches the Rfam family "tRNA". Rfam says of the family: Transfer RNA (tRNA) molecules are approximately 80 nucleotides in length. Their secondary structure includes four short double-helical elements and three loops (D, anti-codon, and T loops). The record is from RNAcentral. RNAcentral also lists the same sequence under 2 other names. Lineage: Bacteria; Pseudomonadati; Myxococcota; Myxococcia.
AGGCGCGUAGCUCAGUGGGAGAGCACUACACUGACACUGUAGGGGUCGUCAGUUCAAUCCUGACCGUGCCUACCA